CCUACGGGGGGCAGCAGUGAGGAAUAUUGGUCAAUGGACGAGAGUCUGAACCAGCCAAGUAGCGUGAAGGAUGACUGCCCUAUGGGUUGUAAACUUCUUUUAUAUGGGAAUAAAACGUUCCACGUGUGGGAUUUUGUAUGUACCAUAUGAAUAAGGAUCGGCUAACUCCGUGCCAGCAGCCGCGGUAAUACGGAGGAUCCGAGCGUUAUCCGGAUUUAUUGGGUUUAAAGGGAGCGUAGGUGGAUUGGUAAGUCAGUUGUGAAAGUUUGCGGCUCAACCGUAAAAUUGCAGUUGAAACUGGCAGUCUUGAGUACAGUAGAGGUGGGCGGAAUUCGUGGUGUAGCGGUGAAAUGCUUAGAUAUCACGAAGAACUCCGAUUGCGAAGGCAGUUCACUGGACUGCAACUGACACUGAGGCUCGAAAGUGUGGGUAUCAAACAGGAUUAGAUACCCCUGUAGUC
Molecule: ribosomal RNA, 460 nt
Filed under: uncultured bacterium
Lineage: Bacteria
Description: partial 16S ribosomal RNA
Rfam family: Bacterial small subunit ribosomal RNA
Source: RNAcentral